CCUACGGGGGGCAGCAGUAAGGAAUAUUGGUCAAUGGACGCAAGUCUGAACCAGCCAUGCCGCGUGGAGGAUGAAGGUCCUCUGGAUUGUAAACUUCUUUUAUUUGGGAAGAAACUCCCGAUUUCCAUCGGGAUUGACGGUACCAGUUGAAUAAGCACCGGCUAACUCCGUGCCAGCAGCCGCGGUAAUACGGAGGGUGCAAGCGUUAUCCGGAUUCACUGGGUCGUAGGUGUGCAUGGAUGGCCAGGUUGAAAUCUCCGGGCUUAACACGGAAACUGCCAUUGAUACUAUUGGUCUUGAAUACUCUGGAGGUGAGCGGAAUAUGUCAUGUAGCGGUGAAAUGCUUAGAUAUGACAUAGAACACCCAUUGCGAAGGCAGCUCACUACGGAAAUAUUGACGCUGAGGCACGAAAGCGUGGGGAUCAAACAGGAUUAGAUACCCCAGUAGUC
Molecule: ribosomal RNA, 450 nt
Filed under: uncultured bacterium
Lineage: Bacteria
Description: partial 16S ribosomal RNA
Rfam family: Bacterial small subunit ribosomal RNA
Source: RNAcentral